GCAAGUCGAGCGCAUUCCUUCGGGACCGAGCGGCGGACGGGUUAGUAACGCUUGGGAAUAUACCCUUCACUAUGGAAUAGCCUCGGGAAACUGAGAGUAAUACCGUAUACGCCCUUCGGGGGAAAGAUUUAUCGGUGAAGGAUUAGCCCGCGUUAGAUUAGAUAGUUGGUGGGGUAAUGGCCUACCAAGUCUACGAUCUAUAGCUGGUUUGAGAGGAUGAUC
Molecule: ribosomal RNA, 222 nt
Filed under: uncultured bacterium
Lineage: Bacteria
Description: partial 16S ribosomal RNA
Rfam family: Bacterial small subunit ribosomal RNA
Source: RNAcentral